GAUGAACGCUGGCGGCGUGCCUAAUACAUGCAAGUAGAACGCUGAAGGAGGAGCUUGCUCUUUCCGGAUGAGUUGCGAACGGGUGAGUAACGCGUAGGUAACCUGCCUGGUAGCGGGGGAUAACUAUUGGAAACGAUAGCUAAUACCGCAUAACAGUAGAUAUUGCAUGAUAUCUGCUUGAAAGGGGCAAUUGCUCCACUACCAGAUGGACCUGCGUUGUAUUAGCUAGUUGGUGAGGUAACGGCUCACCAAGGCGACGAUACAUAGCCGACCUGAGAGGGUGAUCGGCCACACUGGGACUGAGACACGGCCCAGACUCCUACGGGAGGCAGCAGUAGGGAAUCUUCGGCAAUGGACGGAAGUCUGACCGAGCAACGCCGCGUGAGUGAAGAAGGUUUUCGGAUCGUAAAGCUCUGUUGUAAGAGAAGAACGAGUGUGAGAGUGGAAAGUUCACACUGUGACGGUAUCUUACCAGAAAGGGACGGCU
RNAcentral lists this ribosomal RNA (487 nucleotides) under Streptococcus australis. RNAcentral's name for it is "bacterial SSU rRNA". It matches the Rfam family "Bacterial small subunit ribosomal RNA", at positions 28 to 498 of the family's 1533-position model. The record is from RNAcentral. Lineage: Bacteria; Bacillati; Bacillota; Bacilli; Lactobacillales; Streptococcaceae.